UCUCUCUCUUUGCGCAAGCGCGACGGACCCGAUCGCCCCUCUGCUCGCCGUUGAUUUCUGUUCCGAUGCCUUACACGGCCAAGUCCUCUCCUACUGGCGCUUCUUCGACUCGAUCCGCGAUCUGGGUCUCCUCCGCGACCUCUCCAAGGUCCUCUACGUCUCCGCCGAAACCAGCCACGAGGUCAUGGCGCUGUAGUUGAGCGUCGCCGACGUCAAUGGGGUCGAAUUGAUUGACUCGCCACCUCUUGUUGGAGAUCCCGUGCUUCUUGACUUGUUUGGACACUUCUUCAUACUGGGCUAUUAAGAGUUCGUCUCUACAUUUGUUGACCUUGCAAUUAGGCCCUUGAUUGACACUUUUCCUGCCAAGAUGAAGUACGAGUGGAAGCGGCAUUUAGAGGCUUGGAGAUACAGAUCUGAUUUAGACUAUGAGCAUGAGCUAUGAGGAUGGAUAGCCGCAGGACAAGAUCUUUGUCAAAUGGGUUGCUGAACAUACUGGGGUUAAGUGUAAAUUGUCCAUUUUAGGGGAGGAAUUGUUGGAAAUGCUAGCAGGAGGAAAUACUGGGGACAAAAAAAUAUGGCCACAAUUCUCAUUCCUUCCCUUUUCACUGAUUUCACUUUCUUUUUGUCCUUACUCUUUUCCCAAGCACAGUGCAAGUGUCAUCUGUUGGAGGACAGGUCUUUCUACCCUUCCAUUUGAGCUGUUGAGUUCCUGUCUUUAGCAUCUGUCUGAUCUAAUAUUCCAAUUGUCAGAUCUGCUCGACAUUAACUUAUCAUGCUUGAACGUGAUUAAACUGUCCUACACUCUACCUUUAUAUAUAUGGACUGCUGUGGGAGGCUUAUGUAAA
Long non-coding RNA from Syzygium oleosum, 845 nucleotides. RefSeq lists it as uncharacterized. The transcript is spliced from 3 exons. NCBI's taxonomy places the organism in Eukaryota, Viridiplantae, Streptophyta, Magnoliopsida, Myrtales, Myrtaceae. The record is from RefSeq and is a predicted model, not a curated record.